Molecule: RNA transcript, 2152 nt
Organism: Triticum dicoccoides
Lineage: Eukaryota; Viridiplantae; Streptophyta; Magnoliopsida; Poales; Poaceae
Gene name: probable receptor-like serine/threonine-protein kinase At5g57670
Exons: 6
Source: RefSeq, a predicted model, not a curated record
UCGCCUCCCUCCACUUCCUUCCGAUCCCUCUUCACCCGAGACCAGAGCUCGCCCUCGUCGAUCGCCCGCGCGCCGCUCAGCCAAGAAGCCGCACGACGGCGUUGGCGCAUUGCCCCGGAGAGGCCCGCCGACCGAUGAAGCCGCUGUACCUGCGUGGCAGCGGCAGCUUCAAGAGGCUGCUGCUCUCCCUCUCGCCGCACCGCGCCAAGCGCGUCCACGCGCCCCCCGACGUAGAGCACGCCAGCGCGCAGACGGAGGCAGCGUCGCCGCCGCCGCCGGAGCGGAGGCCCGAGUGGGAGUGCUUCUCGUACGAGGAGGUCCGGCGCGCCACGGGCGGCUUCCGCGCGGCCAACCUGGUGGGCCGGGGCGGGUCGUCGGAGGUGUACCGCGGCGAGCUGGCGGACGGGCGGGCCGUGGCGGUGAAGCGGCUCCUGGGCGCGUCCGCCUGCGAGCGCCGGGAGCGGGACUUCCUGGCGGAGCUCGGCACCGUCGGCCACGCCCGGCACCCCAACGUGUGCCCGCUCCUGGGAUGCUGCGUCGACCGCGACCUCUACCUCGUCUUCGCCUUCUCCGCCCGCGGCUCCGUCUCCGCCAACCUCCACGGCGGCGAGGAGGGGGCGCCGGCGAUGGGGUGGGAGGCGCGGUACGGCGUGGCGGUGGGCACGGCGAGGGGGCUGGAGUACCUGCACAAGGGCUGCCGGCGGCGGAUCAUCCACCGGGACAUCAAGGCCUCCAACGUGCUGCUCACCGACGACUUCCAGCCCCAGAUCUCCGACUUCGGGCUGGCCAAGUGGCUGCCGACGGAGUGGACGCACCGGGCGAUCGCGCCGAUCGAGGGCACCUUCGGGUGCCUGGCGCCCGAGUACUACACGCGCGGCAUCGUGGACGAGAAGACGGACGUGUUCGCCUUCGGCGUCUUCCUGCUGGAGCUCAUGGCCGGCCGCAAGCCGGUGGACGGCACCCACAGGAGCCUCCUCGGCUGGGCGAGGCCCCUGCUGAGCGAGGGCAAGACGGAGGCGCUGCUGGACCCGAGGAUCCUCGCCGGCGGCAAUGGCGGCUACGACGCCGAGCAGGCCCGGCGGCUGGCGUUCGUGGCGUCGCUGUGCGUCCGCGCGUCGGCGACGUGGAGGCCGUCCAUGACAGAGGUCCUGGACCUGCUGGAGGGCGCGGAGAUCACGGAGGAGCGGUGGGCGAUGCCGGAGCCGGCGGCCGGGGACGACGAGGGGGAGGAAAUGUGGGGCUUCGACGACCUCGACGACGACGAGGAGGAAUCCGGCACGCCGUCCCCUUUGUCAACGUCCUCGGCCUCGAGCGCUUAGCCCGGGCUAAGAUUGCGUGAGGCGACCGUGAUGCUUGCUGAGAAUUUUGCUCCUUCCCGCCUGCCCCGUUCGUUGUCGAGGUUGUGAAUACAAAGGUUAUCUGUGAGAGGCAAGUAAAAACCACCCCCGUAUGCUGACCACGACACGGACGGAAAAGAUGGUGGUGCUCGCGUGCAAUGCGUAAUGCAAAGCAGACCGAGGGUUUUGUCGGGCACGGUUCAGGGAAAGAGACCGACCGACCGACCUGCCUGCCCUACCAAGAGUGGUACCUGGCUGCUCCGGUUGGGUUGGGUUGGGUACUUGGAUUCCAGUUUGUAUGGACGCAUGCAGUUGGUUCGUUGUUGCCAGGUGUGCGUGCCGCUUUCAGUAUACUCUACUCUGGUAGCGCAUUCGUGGCCACGACACGCGGUGCAGCGCCGUGGCAUGGCGGUUCGGGACAGGUUGAGCUGUGCCCCUGCCCUGGCUCCUUGCACACCUCUUGGACGGACCCCGGAAUGGAGCGGCAUGCUCCUCAUAAAAGGCGAGGGGAACAGGGACCGGUCGAUCAUGUGGCCGUGAGUGUGGGCAAGUGCAGCAGGUGUUCUCUUCUCUCCUCGGGCAGCUUCCCAUGCAAGGUGUUCGUCUUCUGCGACAACUUGCUUAUCAGUAACAUGUAUCAACGCGAGGUUGGUUGACAAGCAACCUCUUCCUUCUCUUUCUUUUAUUAAAAACUGAAAGCAACCUGUGCUGAAAAGGGGAGUACUAAAGUGGGAUACAGUCGCGUUGGCCUGUAGCUGCACGCACUGUCACCGGAUCAUUGGUGCGUGCGUGCGUGCUCCUCACUCCUAAAUACU